GCUGCUUUGUCUGCCAGUGCCGUGUGUUGUCAUGUCGCUCACGCCAAGCACCUGCUGGCUGCUGGAAGCAUACCCCAAGACCCCAAGCCUGACUCCAGCUGUGCCCACAGGAAGUCCAGUCCCAACAGUGCCCUUGUUGCCUUUGAGCCAGACCCAAGGCAAGGGUCUCCGCACAGACCGCAGGGCUGAGUCUGGAGAGAGAAGUCGCUUGACUAAUGCCACUUGUCAGGACAGUAUGUGAGUGUCUGGAGACAGCAUAGUUGACCCCAAUGCCCCAGAACUGAGGACCCCUCCAGGCCCCUCUCUUCUGGAAGUGCUGCAUAUGCCCCCAUGCCCCGUGGUUGACGACACCACCGCCUCCUGCCUACCCGUGGGCCCAAGUUUCUGCGGCUCGUUACAGGGUGUCUGGCCCCUGCCACCCAGCAUAGACACACCUCACAGCUGCCCUGCCAUGCAGAGCCCUGGCCCUGGAGACUCUUAAGCCCUCCACAGCCCUCCAGGUCCUCCAGCUCAGAUGGAGGGCUCUCAGGGGUGUGGCCUGGGCCUAAAUCCCACUGGUAGGCCUGAUGGCUGGCAGCACAAUGUGUGCUCUGGGAAUAAACAGCUGCCCUAGACCCAGAGGGAUCUCCGCACCCAGGAAGCCUCCUGACACCAGCCUAAAUCCUGACAGUAGGGUCUGCCCUCUGAGUGUGGGGAGCCCCUAGUCCUUUAAGGUUGGCUGCUACGGCCUGUGCUCCAAAGCAAUGGGCAGGAGCAGCCUGCAGCUACCCACCCAACCUGGUCUUCACACGAGGUUGCACGUGAUACUGGGCCUCUUUUAUCUUGACGGAGAAGAGGGAUUCCUGCCUAGGAUCUUACAACACAGCAAGUAGCAUAGAGCUCUUUCCUUCCUCUUUUUUUUUUUUUUUCUUUGGUUGGGGUCAGGGGUUGUUUGAGAUUUAAGUUUUCAUUUUUGAGGGGUAAUCACCUUCAAGUAUAACAGUAAUCGUAAGAGUGAAGGUACUUUGGAACCACUAACACCUCUGCACAGGGCAGUUAGCCAGCUCAAGUUCUUUUUCAGAGAAAGGGACUUGGCCAGCGGUUUAAGUAUCUGCCCCUUCACCUCACAGACGAGGCAGCUGGCCCAGUCUGGGGAAGCUGCCCAGGACAAUGGUGGAGCUGGGUCUUGAACCCCAGUCUGUACCUAAAAAACUAAGGGAAAUUGAUCAUUUUCAAAGGGGCAACAGUGAUACCAUCCCUGCACUCCUGGGUCCUGCUCUUAUAGUGCCCAAGGCAGGGCAUGGUGGCAGCUGGCCCCUCCCCCACCAGGUGACUCUGGGGGCAGAGGUGGGCUCUGUUUAGGAGGGCGGUCAGACCACCCAGCCAAAUUGCUCCUCAACCCUAGACAAAGCCUUUGGCCAAGAGGGAGGUGCUGUUAGCUGGGCAGCCCUUCUGGGUUUCAGAGACUGGUGUUGGCUCCAGACUGGUCUCAUCUCCAUUGCCUUAAUGCCAGGUGGCCCAGGAGUACCCAUGCACAGCAGCUGUGGGGUGUGGGCAUCUUCAGGAGGUGUUCUGGUAAAAUUGUGAGAAUAGCUGUGUGAAGGAAACCAGUGGAAGGAAAUGAAGUUUUCAGGAUGACGGGAUGUGAUUCAGACACAGCGCACAUGCUGUUAGGGCUGUCACUAGGGAGUGGCCUUCAUGGAGGGUGGUAACAGCACCUCAGUCCAUCCAAGAUGUUUAGAAACACUCAGUCUCUGGUCCCAGAGGAUGGCUUCUCAGGGCACACCACAAGUUAAAGGUCACCUGCCUGGAAGAUGAAUGAGAAAGCUGCCCGUUCUGAAGACCCAUCUGCCUAGGGAGGGUCGCAGAGGCAGGAUGUAAGCCACACUGUGUUGCAUUCUUGCACAAGUCAUGAAAAUGCGGCCAGAGAGAGAGCCUGGACAUCGGGGACUUUUGCCCACAGCACAUGACACCCACAGCUGCCCAGCCCGUCCACGUGCUGGGGACCAGCACAGCACCUGAAGCCAUGUGCGACAGUGGGCUUUGUUCAUUCUAGCCACAGGGGGAUGAAAGGGAUCUUUUGCAUUGCAGAGAUUUUAUAUAUAUUUUGUUUGUAACGAGCCAUUCUCAAUAAACAUUAUUCUCACUGCAAAA
RNA transcript from Piliocolobus tephrosceles (Ugandan red Colobus), 2133 nucleotides. RefSeq lists it as uncharacterized. The transcript has a single exon. The record is from RefSeq and is a predicted model, not a curated record. NCBI's taxonomy places the organism in Eukaryota, Metazoa, Chordata, Mammalia, Primates, Cercopithecidae.